GUUGACAUGUUUUACCUUUAUUCAAAUUAAUUGUGUGUGGGUGUGUGUGUGUGUGUAUCAUAGUUAAUAAAAAAAUAGUAUUUUGGAGAGCGCAAAAUUAACUACUUUAACUAAUGAGACAAUAUUAGCCUAUAAAUAAGUUUGCAUAGAAGCGAAUUCAGAAAUGAGUUCGUCGAGCACGUAUUGACACUGCUGAGUUCAACUUUCAAAACUCUUUUAUUGUAGUAUAAAAUAAUUUCAAAAUGGAAGAA
Biomphalaria pfeifferi is the source of this 251-nucleotide non-coding RNA. Lineage: Eukaryota; Metazoa; Mollusca; Gastropoda; Planorbidae. The record is from the annotation of a GenBank genome assembly.